GAGUUUGAUCUUGGCUCAGAUUGAACGCUGGCGGCAGGCCUAACACAUGCAAGUCGAGCGGAUGACGGGAGCUUGCUCCUUGAUUCAGCGGCGGACGGGUGAGUAAUGCCUAGGAAUCUGCCUAGUAGUGGGGGACAACGUUUCGAAAGGAACGCUAAUACCGCAUACGUCCUACGGGAGAAAGCAGGGGACCUUCGGGCCUUGCGCUAUCAGAUGAGCCUAGGUCGGAUUAGCUAGUUGGUGGGGUAAUGGCUCACCAAGGCGACGAUCCGUAACUGGUCUAAGAGGAUGAUCAGUCACACUGGAACUGAGACACGGUCCAGACUCCUACGGGAGGCAGCAGUGGGGAAUAUUGGACAAUGGGCGAAAGCCUGAUCCAGCCAUGCCGCGUGUGUGAAGAAGGUCUUCGGAUUGUAAAGCACUUUAAGUUGGGAGGAAAGGGCAGUAAGUUAAUACCUUGCUGUUUUGACGUUACCGACAGAAUAAGCACCGGCUAACUCUGUGCCAGCCGCCG
This 514-nucleotide ribosomal RNA is filed under the name bacterium enrichment culture clone ALO1_GLFRUDD03F4NRP. Its description in RNAcentral is "bacterial SSU rRNA". It matches the Rfam family "Bacterial small subunit ribosomal RNA", at positions 9 to 517 of the family's 1533-position model. The record is from RNAcentral.